Molecule: ribosomal RNA, 383 nt
Filed under: uncultured bacterium
Lineage: Bacteria
Description: bacterial SSU rRNA
Rfam family: Bacterial small subunit ribosomal RNA
Source: RNAcentral
GACGAACGCUGGCGGCGUGCUUAACACAUGCAAGUCGAGCGGUAAGGCCCUUUCGGGGGUACACGAGCGGCGAACGGGUGAGUAACACGUGGGUGACCUGCCCUCAGCUCUGGGAUAAGCCCGGGAAACUGGGUCUAAUACCGGAUAUGACUUCAUGACGCAUGUUGUGGAGUGGAAAGCCUUGUGCGGCUGAGGAUGGGCCCGCGGCCUAUCAGCUUGUUGGUGGGGUGANGGCCUACCAAGGCGACGACGGGUAGCCGGCCUGAGAGGGCGACCGGCCACACUGGGACUGAGACACGGCCCAGACUCCUACGGGAGGCAGCAGUGGGGAAUCUUGCGCAAUGGGCGAAAGCCUGACGCAGCGACGCCGCGUGAGGGAUGAC